This 253-nucleotide ribosomal RNA is filed under the name uncultured bacterium. RNAcentral describes it as "partial 16S ribosomal RNA". It matches the Rfam family "Bacterial small subunit ribosomal RNA", at positions 524 to 776 of the family's 1533-position model. The record is from RNAcentral.
UACAGAGGUGGCAAGCGUUGUUCGGAAUUACUGGGCGUAAAGGGCGCGUAGGCGGCCUUCUAAGUCAGACGUAAAAUCCCCCGGCUUAACCUGGGAACUGCGUCUGAUACUGGGAGGCUUGAGUAUGGGAGAGGGAUGUAGAAUUCCAGGUGUAGCGGUGAAAUGCGUAGAGAUGUGGAGGAACACCAAUUGCGAAGGCAGCUCGCUGGGACGUUACUGACGCUGAGACGCGAAAGCGUGGGGAGCAAACAGG